CCACGCUAGGCGGGGAGCUAGCCGUGCCCUGAACCCGCAACCGGCUAUAGCGGGGCUUAAUUCCCAACCCGAGGCUGUUGCCUGUGGAAACGGGCUACAUGGCGUUAGCAUUGAAGGCUGGGUCCUGCGCGGCGGUAAGGUGUGAAUCCCCCAGGUCCGAAAGGAAGCAAGGGUAAGCACCCAAUGCCGAGCGCCGCAGGGUAGCCUGGCUGGAGCUAACACAUGUAGCUACGCUCGUAGGCAACUGUCGACGGUGGGUGCGUGG
RNAcentral lists this signal recognition particle RNA (265 nucleotides) under Armatimonadota bacterium. RNAcentral describes it as "Armatimonadetes bacterium (hot springs metagenome) signal recognition particle sRNA large type". It matches the Rfam family "Bacterial large signal recognition particle RNA". From Rfam's summary of the family: The signal recognition particle (SRP) is a universally conserved ribonucleoprotein involved in the co-translational targeting of proteins to membranes. Archaeal SRP consists of a 7S RNA and homologues of the eukaryotic SRP19 and SRP54 proteins. Lineage: Bacteria; Bacillati; Armatimonadota. The record is from RNAcentral.